RNAcentral lists this long non-coding RNA (272 nucleotides) under Physcomitrium patens. RNAcentral's name for it is "long non-coding RNA (PPAT_LNC008219)". Lineage: Eukaryota; Viridiplantae; Streptophyta; Bryopsida; Funariales; Funariaceae. The record is from RNAcentral.
GAUAUAAUGUAUUGCACAAAGGAAUAUAUUAAAUAUUUAGGAAAUUUUAUAUUAAUAUAUUACCUAAAACUACUUCUCCUUUCAAAAUCUCCUAUUAAUUAAAAAAAAUAAUAAUAAUUUUGAAAAUAAUAAUAAUAAUAAUAAUAAUGUGAUUUGAUCAAAAUAUGUUUUUAGUACUGAAAAGGUGUUUUACAUCAAAACUCUACUAAUUAAACUGAUUUUUAGUUAGUUACAUUGAAUGAAAAACUUCUUUAAUUAUUAUAUUUUUUAUU